CUCGUCACACUAUCAUUAACUGAAUCCAUAGGUUAAUGAGGCGAACCGGGGGAACUGAAACAUCUAAGUACCCCGAGGAAAAGAAAUCAACCGAGAUUCCCCCAGUAGCGGCGAGCGAACGGGGAGGAGCCCAGAGCCUGAAUCAGCAUGUGUGUUAGUGGAAGCGUCUGGAAAGGCGCGCGAUACAGGGUGACAGCCCCGUACACAAAAGCGCAUGUGCUGUGAGCUCGAUGAGUAGGGCGGGACACGUGGUAUCCUGUCUGAAUAUGGGGGGACCAUCCUCCAAGGCUAAAUACUCCUGACUGACCGAUAGUGAACCAGUACCGUGAGGGAAAGGCGAAAAGAACCCCGGCGAGGGGAGUGAAAAAGAACCUGAAACCGUGUACGUACAAGCAGUGGGAGCACCCUUUGGGUGUGACUGCGUACCUUUUGUAUAAUGGGUCAGCGACUUAUAUUCUGUAGCAAGGUUAACCGAAUAGGGGAGCCGGAGGGAAACC
Molecule: ribosomal RNA, 497 nt
Filed under: Salmonella enterica subsp. enterica serovar Enteritidis
Lineage: Bacteria; Pseudomonadati; Pseudomonadota; Gammaproteobacteria; Enterobacterales; Enterobacteriaceae
Description: partial 23S ribosomal RNA
Rfam family: Bacterial large subunit ribosomal RNA
Source: RNAcentral